CUUAGAUUCAUGGUUCUUGGACGUGCAAAGCUGGCAAGCCUGUCAAUGUUGAUUCCUUGACCUCUGCUAUAGUAUGUUGUAGCUCUUCCGGGAUGGUGUAAAGACUUCCGACCAACAAAAUUCCACCCAAGAUGCUGCCAAAAGAGGAAGAGUAGAAAUGGAAAGUUUAUUUCAGUGCCUUUUUUGAAUAUUGUAACUUUGAUCAACGGACAGUGAGUACAUGAUUUACCUCCCGAGGUGAACAAUUUCUCCGA
Sorghum bicolor (sorghum) is the source of this 254-nucleotide long non-coding RNA. RefSeq lists it as uncharacterized. Lineage: Eukaryota; Viridiplantae; Streptophyta; Magnoliopsida; Poales; Poaceae. The transcript has 2 exons. The record is from RefSeq and is a predicted model, not a curated record.